Molecule: non-coding RNA, 829 nt
Organism: Phascolarctos cinereus (koala)
Lineage: Eukaryota; Metazoa; Chordata; Mammalia; Diprotodontia; Phascolarctidae
Source: RefSeq, a predicted model, not a curated record
CAACGAUGUACCUCCUUGGUAAAUUUCUGUAAUAUGUGCCCACUCUCUCUCUCACAAGAAGGGCUUGCAGGAUUUCAUUGUGCUACUGGGAAGAUUUUUCCUGAGGAUUUGGCCCAGCUGAGCCCCUGUCCUGCGUAUUUACUCAAAAAAGAAAUAUCUUCUUGGGCACUUCUAUUCUUCAACCAUUAAAGCCUGAGAUUUGUCAAAGAAAAGACUCCAGUCAAGAGAUGGAAUCUGAGCAUCUUCUGGGUAUGACUCCGGACCUUAUUUUUUAUUUUUAGACCAUAUUCUAAAAGCCUCCAGAAAUCAGAAAAGCACAGAGAUAGGGUUUUUCAGACAGCAUCCAACUUGUUUUGACAUUCUGCUGUCCUGUUCUGCCAAGAACCAAACGAAAAUGUUGAAUCAAGUCAUUCCUUCUAUUUUGCUAAUCCAAUAAUUUAGGAUUUAUUUGCCAGGGAUUUAAUUACUUUUUAAUCCUUUUCAAAAGCUGUAAUAGAAGUUUUCUUGCAUAAAAUUAACUAGAAAGCAUGGCCUCGGUUUUCCCUAUCUUCUCCUUACUUUCCUUUUAUAAAAGCUUAAAAGUUUUGGUAGGCUUCCCUCUCCUCUCCUCCUCACUUUCCAGUAGUUCACAUAAACCCAUUACUAGUAAGGAAAUGAUGAAAUCUUGAAGAUGUUUGUUCUGAUUGGGGCACAGUAGGUACACUUUUUCAUAAGGUUUGGCUGUUGUUUUAUUAAACUGGUUUCUGAGUGGUCUAUCCUUUGCUCAUUACAGUUUAUAUAACUUGGGUAAAGGGACUUUUCUUUGAAAAGUUCUCCAGGCACUGCCUCA